This 232-nucleotide ribosomal RNA is filed under the name Salmonella enterica subsp. enterica serovar Typhimurium. RNAcentral's name for it is "partial 16S ribosomal RNA". It matches the Rfam family "Bacterial small subunit ribosomal RNA", at positions 807 to 1038 of the family's 1533-position model. The record is from RNAcentral. Lineage: Bacteria; Pseudomonadati; Pseudomonadota; Gammaproteobacteria; Enterobacterales; Enterobacteriaceae.
CGAUGUCUUCUUGGUGGUGGUGCGCUUGAGGCGUGGCUUCCGGAUCUUACGCGUUUAGUAGACCGGCUGGGGAGUUCUGCCGCUUGUUUAAAUCUCAAUUGUUUUGACGGGGGCCCGCACAAGCGGUGGAGCAGGUGGGUUAAUUCGAUGCAACGCGAUGAUCCUUACCUGGGCUUGACAUCCUCAGUACUUUACUGAGAUGGUUUGGUGCCUUCGGGAACUGUGAGACAGG